RNAcentral lists this ribosomal RNA (253 nucleotides) under uncultured bacterium. Its description in RNAcentral is "partial 16S ribosomal RNA". It matches the Rfam family "Bacterial small subunit ribosomal RNA", at positions 524 to 776 of the family's 1533-position model. The record is from RNAcentral.
UACGAAGGGGGCUAGCGUUGCUCGGAAUUACUGGGCGUAAAGGGCGCGUAGGCGGGUCGUUUAGUUAGAGGUGAAAGCCCAGGGCUCAACCCUGGAAUUGCCUUUAAUACUGGCGGCCUUGAGUAUGGCAGAGGUGUGUGGAACUCCGAGUGUAGAGGUGAAAUUCGUAGAUAUUCGGAAGAACACCAGUGGCGAAGGCGACACACUGGGCCAUUACUGACGCUGAGGCGCGAAAGUGUGGGGAGCAAACAGG